AUACCCACAAAAUUGGACCGAUGCUACAUUACACAUUUAUCUUUUGAAGAACAUACCUUGUCACCUGUAUCUGAAUCUCAGACUCUUAUUUAUUCGAAAAUUAUUUAUUUCUUAAAGUUACUUAAGUUGCACACAAUAUAAGACUAACUCCCUCCUUCAGGCUAACAUUAGCUCUACAGAACAUGGCUCUUCAAGAUUCACAGAAAUAAUGAAAUGACGAUGAUGUAAAGUUUGCUGUCAAGUCCUAACUUAACUCUGUAACUUAGUAGUACGUACCACCAACACACAAAACAGUUCUUGUGAUUGAGUGAAAACAAGCAGAAAACCAUAUAGAGGCCAUAAAAUGAUUACAGAGAUGCAGUGAGAAAGCUGAUCAAAAGUCAGUCAAAAACCUGCUUUCUCAGCUGGUUCCCAAAUAAGUGGCUAUCUAUGACACCCUAUCACAAUGAUCUUGCCUAAAAGCUAUAUAAGCAAUGUCUUGUCUUUUGAGAUUAUUUGGCUAAGCCAUAUUCAUAACUGUCUCCAGUCUAAUGAUGAACAAGAGAGGAGAUCUAAAUCCCAGCCAUCCCAUCCCUGUCACCUCUUAUUCAAGUGAGCAAGUGUUGCAGACAACAACAUUCACAAUAAUUAACACCAACAGUAAAAUACAUAAGCAUGCCUGCAUUGAAUCAGAAAGACUAGCAGUUGCAAAGUUGUGAUGUCGUAAUUUCUGGAACUAAUUAACAUGACCUACUCAAGCAUAACAAGUGAAAGUGUUCAGGGAUUGUUAAACCCCUAAUCAUGAAAUGACUCAAAGGAGGAAAUUGAUGACAGUUUGAACCAAUGCAGAAUCUACUAUUUGAGCUUAUAUUUCUAGAAUAAUUUCAACCAUUACAUAACACUGGAUCCAACUUACCAUAGUACUGUUAUCAGAGGGCCGAAUCUUCUGACUGGCAUGUCAAAUUUUGUCAACAGCUGCGCUUCACUUCAACAUGAUCAAAUACACGAGAGACAAACAUAUGGGAUCCUAUCACACCUUUUUAAAAAAUAGGCUUUAAUCUAAUUCACUCACAUAUAUUGGCUUUGUAAACAGCCAUAAACAUUAGACUCAACCUUCUCAAAGAAUCAAUUAUCUAUGACACACUCAGAAUUGUGAUACAACAUAAACCUGAUAAAAGAAAAUCAGUUUCUGAAUAUAGCCAAAAUACUUAAACUAGAAUACUACUUUCCUAGGAUAAGAGACAAAGGAUCAAACAAAUAAUGCCAACAAUUAUUAGCACCUACCUUUGUGCUUCAAUGAGCCAACAACAAUUAUCCUUGAGCCACAUUUGGACGUCGUCUUUGAGUGAAUGACUGACCCUCCUCUUGCUAACCCCAUUCUUGUCCUAAAAAUUUCCUCCCACCAUAUUAUCCUUGUCCUGCACAUCCACUGAUAAUUUUCUUUUUCUUUUUUUUUCGAUAAGUGAAGAACUGAAGAUCUUAUUAGUUAAAGCGAAUGAGUAAUAAUAGGAAAAAAAGCAAAAGUACAACAGUAAAUCAUGAACCCCAUUCAUGACAUACAAUCCCAGUUCAUGCCAUAAUUUUCACCAAAAGUAUAGUUACCCAUGAGACCAUAAGUUCUUCGGAUCUGCACUUCCUAGGAGAACCUGUCAUGCCAUAAUUUUCACCAAUCUAUGGCAGAUAACAACUGUCACCAAAUUAAGAAACACUUCAAAACUCAGAAACAUAUUGAUAGAGGAGUGGAAGACGAGGUGAAGCGAUACAAAGGCCUUGGAGAUGAUGGUGACGAUAAUGAAAGAAAUCAAAUGAAGAAAUGGGGGAGUAUAAACAUGAAGGUGGAGAGUGACAUGAACAUCAUUAUGAAGUUGAAUCGUCUGAUAAGACGAGCAACUUUAAAUGACGGUGACUGUUUCAACUUUCAAUGGAGGGUAGUAAAACCAUGACACAGACCUCAAUGGAGAGGAGCCUACGCAGAAGCAUUAGAGGAAACAGGGGUUCUAACAAUGGAACCUUGCUCAUAAUCUUAUCUAGACUCCUCUUCCCCGAGGGUCGUGCCUUAAAAGUUGAAACUGGUGCAAUCCAUCAGAACUAUGUCCACCAUUGUCAUUCAUAUUCCUUCUUCACUUAAACUUCUUUUUCUUAACUUUUGGGCCAAAGAAAACUCAGGAUAUAAAGCGGGAAAGUACAUAGCCACAAGGGUUAUGACUGAAGAAAGACCUUGACCAAGAAAGAAACUUAAAAAAGAGAGAAAAUCAAAAUAAUUUAGCAUCAAGUAUCAGAUCCUCAAAAUGAAGACCUUUCUUUCCUAUGUGCCUAUAAGUCCAAUACCAAAUACUUGCUUUAACAUGUAAGCCCUUAUCAUCACAUUCUACUCCAUAUCAAGUAUUAAUUCCAGUGCAAUUUACCACAGGUGUAUGGCCUCAAUUAAUACUGUAAUCACACCACCAAUCUAAGGAAAAGUUUCCCAGUCCCAGUUAUCUCCUCAACGUCUUCAAACCACAGACUGAUCAACAACUGAGAGCUUGUCUUUUGGAUUCAAAUAUAGAUGCUUUCUCUUUCCCUACCCAGACCCAAUAACUAGCCAGCAAGUUAAACCAUGAUAUUCCAAAUUCAGCCCUUAAUCUAUAUUGUCACCUACUAACCCCCUUGCAAGACAAUCGUCCUGAGUCUGAUCAAUAAGGAUCCCCAUUCCUCUUGUUCACCAGUGAUCCCAAUAUCCCAUCAACUUUUCAAGAAACUCCAACCAAGAGGCAAGAGGAACAACUAUUGCACUUACCCAAUUGAGAACAUUCACAUCACUUGUACACCUUCUCAGACUAGCAACAAAGACCUUCCUAUCACAUACAGUUGCUGUUAUAUUGCUACAACGCUACAACACACACCCAAUAGAGCUUUGCACAUAAGACUCUUCACCUGAAAUUCCCACUAAAUUACCCUCUCAGACUAGCAACUAAGUCUAUUCUAUCACAAACAGUUGCUAGUAUAUUGCUAAAACACUCUCCUAAUAGAAGUCGGCACAAAGACUCAUUACCUAAAAUUCCCCCUACCUUACUUUAUUCUCUCCGGAAAUCCCCAAUUCCUGCUCAACUUACCCCAAAGUGGCCACCUUCGAUGGAAGAUUCAAAACCGAGUCAGGUAUAAGGUUAUCUUUUUGGAUUACAAUUUACAAAAGACAUCAUCCUCCACGUGGUCAGUAGGGCUGGCAAUGGUACGGGUUAGACCCGAAACCCGGUCCGAUCCGUACCGAUAAGAACGGGUUUGGUAUUGCAUUUUUAUGUAUUGGUACGGGUCUGGUUCUUAAAAUUAGGACCCGAUUGUUAUCGGAUCGGGUUUGGAAUUAGUAGAUACCGAACCGAUAUGGACCCGAUAUAAAUUAUUUUGAGGUUUUAAAUAUUUUAGAUUCACUACCAUUAUUAACAUAUUAAUUACCUUAUAAGUAUAUGCAAUUACAUUAAAAACAUAGAAAUAAAUAAAAUCAUAUACUAUAUUUGUAUACUUGAUUAUAUAUAUUUACUAAAUAUAUCUAGAUUCUUAAAAAGUAACUCAUUUUUUCUAAAUUUGUAUACAUAAUUUUGACAUAUCAAUUUAUGGUCAAAAUACCCGAAUCCAACCCGGAUCCGAUCCAAUAAGAUUUGGUACAGGUAUGGUUCAUUACUUUCGGACCCGAUAGGGUCUGGUUCCGGGUCCGAGAUUAUUAGUUUUCUUAUUGGUUCGGGUAUGGUAUUUCUAAUAUCCGGUCCGAACCGGUCCAUUGCCAGCCCUAGUGGUCAGAAAACUGGAAGUAUCAUCACUUUCAAGGCAGCAUAUUUUUGUGGAAGCCCUAGCCAUAAUUGUUUCGAUACAUCGAUUUACUUUUCACAAAACUGCUUUCACGCAAGGACCGUCCAUGGAUAAGAUUUAGAAAGAAUCAAAGACCAUCGACUGUACUCAUCCUCAUAACGUGAAAAUUGCUUUCAUGCAAGGACCGUCCAUGGAUAAGAUUUAGAAAGAAUCAAAGACCAUCGACUGUACUCAUCCUCAUAACGUGUAUUUUGUUUAACAAUAAAGGUUGCAUGAAAGACAUCAACAAGUGAAACUUGUGGGAUCAAGAAGUUUUCUUAUAGUUGCACGAGCAAGGUUGGAUACAGUUGCCCAAGCAUUAGUACCUCCGGUUUCACAGAGGACAUGGUAAGCAUAUCUUAUCAGGCAAGACAUUGCAAUUACAGUACUAUAGUUAGAAGCUUUGGGGUUUCUAGCUUAGAUAUCUAUAUAAUUUGAAUAAAUUUCAGAAACAUAAUCCUAAUUAGGGUUCAAGUAAAAGUAGAGGAUCACCCCCCAGUGCAUUUGUGCGAAGAAAUACUAAUUCUAUAUCAUUAAAACAGAAAUCUCCACAUAGCAACAUCAAUAGAAGUUGUAAAAUUCCAAUAGUUAAACUAAUUUGGUAUCUCUAAAUUCUAAGUCAUAAUAAUACAUUGUAUCACAAAACAUAAUCCAAAACCCUAGAAGAACGAUUUCAAAAAAUAUAAAAGAUCAAUUCAAUUAAGUUCAGUCUAAUCCAGUCUUACCGAACUCAAGCAUCAUCCUCAUCCUCAUUGUUGUCGCUAUCAUCGUCGUCAUCAUCAUCAUCAUCCAAAUCGUU
This 4597-nucleotide long non-coding RNA is filed under the name Aquilegia coerulea. Its description in RNAcentral is "long non-coding RNA (ACOE_LNC002251)". Lineage: Eukaryota; Viridiplantae; Streptophyta; Magnoliopsida; Ranunculales; Ranunculaceae. The record is from RNAcentral.